Molecule: long non-coding RNA, 922 nt
Organism: Dreissena polymorpha
Lineage: Eukaryota; Metazoa; Mollusca; Bivalvia; Myida; Dreissenidae
Exons: 3
Source: RefSeq, a predicted model, not a curated record
AAGCACUGAUUCAAUUACGACGGUUUAUUUGAUACUUUUUGUUUUCAUUUCAUUCUGCGUCACAAAUUUAUCAUUAUGGUGCUCGGUCGUUGUUUGGGGCUCCAAUCCCACCACACCCAAACCACACACAUAAACCCCACCCUCACCACCCAAGCGAUUCCUAGCGGCGGAGUAGUAGACGCAGCCAUUGUUAAUAUCAACACGCUCUACACCGACGCCCUGUUUCUCGAGCUUCAAUUGGUCGACUGCGCUUCCCACGUGACAAAAGGCGACGAGCAGGUGUGUAGCUCCAAUGGGAUAACCUAUGAUAACCAAGCUGUCGGUUCACGAACGCAGUCUGUGAGACGCUACAGUUCACUGGCCAUACAAUAACAUUGCAAAGCCACGGCACAUGCCCUCACAGCGCAGUCUCCAUCACAAUUCCGACCACAGUCUCCAAUACAACACCGAUUGCAGUAUCCAACACCACUUGCCCCGAAUGCGACAUGAUGUUCAAUCUCUUCUGUAGCAACGUCGCGUCCUUAACGUGCCCCGGUGAAUUGAAACUCAUAUGUGGAUCGGAUAGACAGGUCUAUUUCAAUAUGUAAGUCACCAAAAACAUGAGUGCGUUGUUGGCAAUAUUUGUUAAUUAUGACAGGCUAGUAUUCGUUUUUAUUAAAAUAAUCACCGAACUCAAUAUGUUCCAACACUUGAAAUAUUAAAAGCAUUUGUGGUUGAACAAAUUUUCAAACGGAAAAUGUGUAUAAGGCACAAACAUAAUUAUUAAGUAUUGCGGUGUCACGUAAUAAAAUCAAACAUGAAAAUGUUUACACUGUAAGAAUGACUGCCCUGUAAGCCUUUUACAUAUUAAUAAAUAAUCAAAUGCGACAAUGAAGAUUUAAACAUAAUUUGGUUCUUUCCGCUUAAACAAUAGAACGUUGAU